RNAcentral lists this ribosomal RNA (489 nucleotides) under uncultured bacterium. RNAcentral describes it as "partial 16S ribosomal RNA". It matches the Rfam family "Bacterial small subunit ribosomal RNA", at positions 30 to 507 of the family's 1533-position model. The record is from RNAcentral.
UUGAACGCUGGCGGCAGGCCUAACACAUGCAAGUCGAACGGUAACAGGAAGCAGCUUGCUGCUUUGCUGACGAGUGGCGGACGGGUGAGUAAUGUCUGGGAAACUGCCUGAUGGAGGGGGAUAACUACUGGAAACGGUAGCUAAUACCGCAUAACGUCGCAAGACCAAAGAGGGGGACCUUAGGGCCUCUUGCCAUCGGAUGUGCCCAGAUGGGAUUAGCUAGUAGGUGGGGUAACGGCUCACCUAGGCGACGAUCCCUAGCUGGUCUGAGAGGAUGACCAGCCACACUGGAACUGAGACACGGUCCAGACUCCUACGGGAGGCAGCAGUGGGGAAUAUUGCACAAUGGGCGCAAGCCUGAUGCAGCCAUGCCGCGUGUAUGAAGAAGGCCUUCGGGUUGUAAAGUACUUUCAGCGGGGAGGAAGGGAGUAAAGUUAAUACCUUCGCUCAUUGACGUUACCCGCAGAAGAAGCACCGGCUAACUCCGUG